Non-coding RNA from Apaloderma vittatum (bar-tailed trogon), 72 nucleotides. The record is from Rfam. Lineage: Eukaryota; Metazoa; Chordata; Aves; Trogoniformes; Trogonidae.
GGCCGGUUAGCUCAGUCCGUUGAGCGUGCCGCUAACAACGCUAAGGUCGCGGGUUCAAUUCCCAUUCGGUCC